CCUACGGGUGGCUGCAGUGGGGAAUAUUGCACAAUGGCGGGAACCCUGAAGCAGCCACGCCGCGUGAGUGACGAAGUUUCCAGGUACGGUAAGCUCUAUCUGCAGGGAAGCAAAUGACGGUACCUGACUCAGACGCCCCGGCUAACUACGUGCCAGCUGCCGCGGUACUACGUCGGGAGCCAGCGUUAUCCGGAUUUACUGGGUGUAAAGGGAGCGUAGACGGCACUGCAAGUCCGGAGUGAAAGCCCAAGGCUUAACCAUGGGACUGCUCUUGAAACUGUGGAGCUUGAGUGGGGGAGGGGCAGGCGGAAUGCGCAGUGUAGCGGUGAAAUGCGUAGAUAUUAGGAGGAACACCGGCUGCGAAGGCGGCCUGCUGGACCGUAACUGACGUUGAGGCACGAAAGCGUGGGGAGCAAACAGGAUUAGAUACCCGAGUAGUC
RNAcentral lists this ribosomal RNA (440 nucleotides) under uncultured bacterium. RNAcentral's name for it is "partial 16S ribosomal RNA". It matches the Rfam family "Bacterial small subunit ribosomal RNA", at positions 338 to 795 of the family's 1533-position model. The record is from RNAcentral.